RNAcentral lists this ribosomal RNA (645 nucleotides) under Drosophila mediodiffusa. RNAcentral describes it as "partial 16S ribosomal RNA". The record is from RNAcentral. Lineage: Eukaryota; Metazoa; Arthropoda; Insecta; Diptera; Drosophilidae.
UUAAAUUAUAUUUAUUAAUUUAAUUUAUUUAAAGUUUUUUUAUUAAAAAUAAUUAUAAAUUUUAUAGUUUUAGUAUUGUUUAAAGAAAAAAUAAAUUUAAUUAUAGUGUAUUAGUAUUGUAAAAGAAAAUUGAAAUAAUUUGAAAAAUUAUUAUUUGAAAAGAAAAUUUAAUUUAUUGUACCUUGUGUAUCAGUGUUUAUUAAAUAAAAAAUAUUUAUAAAUAUUUUUCUCGAUUUUAAAAGAGUUAAUAUAAUAUGAAAGUUAAUGUAAUAAAAUUAUUUUAAAUAUUAUAUUAGAAAUGAAAUGUUAUUCGUUUUUAAAGGUAUCUAGUUUUUCAAGAAAUAAAUUUAAUUUAGAAAUUAUAAAUUUAUUUUAAAAAUUAUUUAAUAAAAUAAUUUAUAAUUUUAAUAUUUUAUGGGAUAAGCUAUAAAAUAAAUUUUUAAAAAUAAUAAAUAAAUUUAAUAAAUAUAUGUUUAGAAUUAGCAAUUAUUAAUAAAUAUGUUAUAAUUUAUUUUAUAAAAACAAUUAUUUAUUAUAUUUUAAAUUUUUAUUGAAAUAUUAAUUUUAAUUUGUAAAAUUAAUUAAUAAUGAUAAAAUUAGUAUAUUGUAUUGUAAAAUAAAUAAAAAUGAUAAGUUAAAAUAAAG